Non-coding RNA from Acanthosepion pharaonis, 112 nucleotides. Lineage: Eukaryota; Metazoa; Mollusca; Cephalopoda; Sepiida; Sepiidae. The record is from the annotation of a GenBank genome assembly.
UUACGGCCAUAUCAAGUUGAAACUCUGUUCUCGUACGACCACUGAAGUUAAGUAACGCCGAACCCGCUUAGUAGCGAAAUGGGUGACCUCUUUGAAAUACCAGGUGCUGUAC